AUUGAACGCUGGCGGCAGGCUUAACACAUGCAAGUCGAGCGGAGUGAUGGUGCUUGCACCAUCACUUAGCGGCGAACGGGUGAGUAAUGCCUAGGAAUCUGCCCAUUAGCGGGGGACAACGUGUGGAAACGCACGCUAAUACCGCAUACGCCCUACGGGGGAAAGCAGGGGACUCUUUGAGCCUUGCACUAAUGGAUGAGCCUAGGUCAGAUUAGCUAGUUGGUGGGGUAAAGGCCUACCAAGGCGACGAUCUGUAGCGGGUCUGAGAGGAUGAUCCGCCACACUGGAACUGAGACACGGUCCAGACUCCUACGGGAGGCAGCAGUGGGGAAUAUUGGACAAUGGGCGCAAGCCUGAUCCAGCCAUGCCGCGUGUGUGAAGAAGGCCUUUUGGUUGUAAAGCACUUUAAGCGAGGAGGAGGCUUACCUGGUUAAUACCUGGGAUAAGUGGACGUUACUCGCAGAAUAAGCACCGGCUAACUCUGUGCCAGCAGCCGCGGUAAUACAGAGGGUGCGAGCGUUAAUCGGAAUUACUGGGCGUAAAGCGCGCGUAAGCGGUUUGUUAGUCGGAUGUGAAAUCCCCGGGCUCAACCUGGGAAUUGCAUUCGAUACUGGCAAGCUAGAGUAUGGGAGAGGAAGGUAGAAUUCCAGGUGUAGCGGUGAAAUGCGUAGAGAUCUGGAGGAAUACCGAUGGCGAAGGCAGCCUUCUGGCCUAAUACUGACGCUGAGGUGCGAAAGCAUGGGGAGCAAACAGGAUUAGAUACCCUGGUAGUCCAUGCCGUAAACGAUGUCAACUAGCCGUUGGGGGAUUUGAUCCUUUAGUGGCGCAGCUAACGCGAUAAGUUGACCGCCUGGGGAGUACGGUCGCAAGACUAAAACUCAAAUGAAUUGACGGGGGCCCGCACAAGCGGUGGAGCAUGUGGUUUAAUUCGAUGCAACGCGAAGAACCUUACCUGGUCUUGACAUAGUGAGAAUCUUUCAGAGAUGAGAGAGUGCCUUCGGGAAUUCACAUACAGGUGCUGCAUGGCUGUCGUCAGCUCGAGUCGUGAGAUGUUGGGUUAAGUCCCGCAACGAGCGCAACCCUUUUCCUUAUUUGCCAGCACUUCGGGUGGGAACUCUAAGGAUACUGCCAGUGACAAACUGGAGGAAGGCGGGGACGACGUCAAGUCAUCAUGGCCCUUACGACCAGGGCUACACACGUGCUACAAUGGUCGGUACAAAGGGUUGCUACACAGCGAUGUGAUGCUAAUCUCAAAAAGCCGAUCGUAGUCCGGAUUGGAGUCUGCAACUCGACUCCAUGAAGUCGGAAUCGCUAGUAAUCGCGGAUCAGAAUGCCGCGGUGAAUACGUUCCCGGGCCU
RNAcentral lists this ribosomal RNA (1358 nucleotides) under uncultured bacterium. RNAcentral describes it as "bacterial SSU rRNA". It matches the Rfam family "Bacterial small subunit ribosomal RNA", at positions 28 to 1381 of the family's 1533-position model. The record is from RNAcentral.